GACGAACGCUGGCGGCGUGCUUAACACAUGCAAGUCGAACGAAGAGCGAUGGAAGCUUGCUUCUAUCAAUCUUAGUGGCGAACGGGUGAGUAACGCGUAAUCAACCUGCCCUUCAGAGGGGGACAACAGUUGGAAACGACUGCUAAUACCGCAUACGAUCCAAUCUCGGCAUCGGGACUGGAUGAAAGGUGGCCUCUAUUUAUAAGCUAUCACUGAAGGAGGGGAUUGCGUCUGAUUAGCUAGUUGGAGGGGUAACGGCCCACCAAGGCGAUGAUCAGUAGCCGGUCUGAGAGGAUGAACGGCCACAUUGGGACUGAGACACGGCCCAGACUCCUACGGGAGGCAGCAGUGGGGAAUCUUCCGCAAUGGACGAAAGUCUGACGGAGCAACGCCGCGUGAGUGAUGACGGCCUUCGGGUUGGAAAGCUCUGUUAAUCGGGACGAAUGGUUCUUGUGCGAAUAGUGCGAGGAUUUGACGGUACCGGAAUAGAAAGCCACGGCUAACUACGUG
Molecule: ribosomal RNA, 510 nt
Filed under: uncultured bacterium
Lineage: Bacteria
Description: partial 16S ribosomal RNA
Rfam family: Bacterial small subunit ribosomal RNA
Source: RNAcentral